CUCUAGCCUUCCAAGCUAUGGAUGCGGGUUCGAUUCCCGCUACCCGCU
RNAcentral lists this transfer RNA (48 nucleotides) under Pharnaceum aurantium. RNAcentral describes it as "partial tRNA-Gly". It matches the Rfam family "tRNA", at positions 24 to 71 of the family's 71-position model. Rfam says of the family: Transfer RNA (tRNA) molecules are approximately 80 nucleotides in length. Their secondary structure includes four short double-helical elements and three loops (D, anti-codon, and T loops). Further hydrogen bonds mediate the characteristic L-shaped molecular structure. tRNAs have two regions of fundamental functional importance: the anti-codon, which is responsible for specific mRNA codon recognition, and the 3' end, to which the tRNAs corresponding amino acid is attached (by aminoacyl-tRNA synthetases). tRNAs cope with the degeneracy of the genetic code in two manners: having more than one tRNA (with a specific anti-codon) for a particular amino acid; and 'wobble' base-pairing, i.e. permitting non-standard base-pairing at the 3rd anti-codon position. The record is from RNAcentral. Lineage: Eukaryota; Viridiplantae; Streptophyta; Magnoliopsida; Caryophyllales; Molluginaceae.